GGAAGUAAAAGUCUAACAAGGUUUCCGUAGGUGAACCUGCGGAAGGAUCAUUACUGAGUGAGGGCCCCUCGGGGUCCAACCUCCCACCCGUGUUUAACGAACCUUGUUGCUUCGGCGGGCCCGCCUCACGGCCGCCGGGGGGCAUUUGCCCCCGGGCCCGCGCCCGCCGAAGCCACCUGUGAACGCUGUCUGAAGUAUGCAGUCUGAGACAAUUAUUAAAUUAAUUAAAACUUUCAACAACGGAUCUCUUGGUUCCG
Molecule: unclassified non-coding RNA, 257 nt
Filed under: plant metagenome
Description: partial contains small subunit ribosomal RNA, internal transcribed spacer 1, and 5.8S ribosomal RNA
Rfam family: Eukaryotic small subunit ribosomal RNA (bases 1-53)
Source: RNAcentral